UGACAAAUCUAUUUAUGGCUAUCUGCAA
Molecule: small RNA, 28 nt
Filed under: Bombyx mori (domestic silkworm)
Lineage: Eukaryota; Metazoa; Arthropoda; Insecta; Lepidoptera; Bombycidae
Description: piRNA piR-bmo-1518835
Source: RNAcentral